GACGAACUGUGCAAACGUUAUUCGGAAUCACUGGGCUUGAAGAGUGCGUAGGCGGUUUCGUAAGUAGGGUGUGAAAGCCCCCAGCUCAACUGGGGAACUGCGUCCUAAACUGCGAGGCUGGAGUGAGGUAGGGGUGUGCGGAACUUCCGGUGGAGCGGUGAAAUGCGUAGAUAUCUGGAGGAACACCGGUGGCGAAGGCGGGUCUCUGGGCCGAUACUGACGCUGAGGAGCGAAAGCGUGGGGAGCGAACAGG
Molecule: ribosomal RNA, 253 nt
Filed under: uncultured bacterium
Lineage: Bacteria
Description: partial 16S ribosomal RNA
Rfam family: Bacterial small subunit ribosomal RNA
Source: RNAcentral